CUUGCUCCACCGGAAAAAGAGGAGUGGCGAACGGGUGAGUAACACGUGGGUAACCUGCCCAUCAGAAGGGGAUAACACUUGGAAACAGGUGCUAAUACCGUAUAACAAUCGAAACCGCAUGGUUUUGAUUUGAAAGGCGCUUUCGGGUGUCGCUGAUGGAUGGACCCGCGGUGCAUUAGCUAGUUGGUGAGGUAACGGCUCACCAAGGCCACGAUGCAUAGCCGACCUGAGAGGGUGAUCGGCCACAUUGGGACUGAGACACGGCCCAAACUCCUACGGGAGGCAGCAGUAGGGAAUCUUCGGCAAUGGACGAAAGUCUGACCGAGCAACGCCGCGUGAGUGAAGAAGGUUUUCGGAUCGUAAAACUCUGUUGUUAGAGAAGAACAAGGAUGAGAGUAACUGUUCAUCCCUUGACGGUAUCUAACCAGAAAGCCACGGCUAACUACGUGCCAGCAGCCGCGGUAAUACGUAGGUGGCAAGCGUUGUCCGGAUUUAUUGGGCGUAAAGCGAGCGCAGGCGGUUUCUUAAGUCUGAUGUGAAAGCCCCCGGCUCAACCGGGGAGGGUCAUUGGAAACUGGGAGACUUGAGUGCAGAAGAGGAGAGUGGAAUUCCAUGUGUAGCGGUGAAAUGCGUAGAUAUAUGGAGGAACACCAGUGGCGAAGGCGGCUCUCUGGUCUGUAACUGACGCUGAGGCUCGAAAGCGUGGGGAGCAAACAGGAUUAGAUACCCUGGUAGUCCACGCCGUAAACGAUGAGUGCUAAGUGUUGGAGGGUUUCCGCCCUUCAGUGCUGCAGCUAACGCAUUAAGCACUCCGCCUGGGGAGUACGACCGCAAGGUUGAAACUCAAAGGAAUUGACGGGGGCCCGCACAAGCGGUGGAGCAUGUGGUUUAAUUCGAAGCAACGCGAAGAACCUUACCAGGUCUUGACAUCCUUUGACCACUCUAGAGAUAGAGCUUCCCCUUCGGGGG
This 969-nucleotide ribosomal RNA is filed under the name Enterococcus faecium. Its description in RNAcentral is "bacterial SSU rRNA". It matches the Rfam family "Bacterial small subunit ribosomal RNA", at positions 71 to 1026 of the family's 1533-position model. Lineage: Bacteria; Bacillati; Bacillota; Bacilli; Lactobacillales; Enterococcaceae. The record is from RNAcentral.